GGUAUUAAGAAAGGAUGAUAGAACUAUGAUGACUAGAAAUGAGUUGUUCAAAAACACAUUGAGAAAAGCAGCUCAUGGAUGGAAACGGAUCAAUGAGCUUCGACUUUCUGGUGUGUCUCCAUCUGGGAGAUCUUGUUUCGUAGAUUUGUUAUUUUUGUUGUUAUUAUUAUCAUUACUGUUACUAUUUUUAUAUUUUUCUAUAUCAUUUUUCAUUUGCUUUAAUAAUGCAAAUUAUGCUACCAUUGUUACAGAAGAAGAAGCAUCCUGGUUUAGGCAUUAUGUUGAUCAACCAGCAUAUACGGAUCUUCACUGGGUAAGCUCCAAUUCUCCCUUUUUGUGCCAUUCUAAUUUGUCUAUAUUUCAAUAUCCAGUUUGAUAGUAUUUUUUUUACUACAAUUUUCCCACUUCCUUCUAUGAUAAGUAUUCUGCAUGUUUUUGUAGCCUUCAAAUAUUUGAAUUGUUUGUAUUUUUUAGUUAAUAUGUUAAUCUUCUCUUCAGGGAAUGUUUGUGCCUUUUAUUAAAGGAUCUGGUACUGA
This 536-nucleotide long non-coding RNA is filed under the name Prunus dulcis (almond). Its description in RNAcentral is "sRNA ncRNA". The record is from RNAcentral. Lineage: Eukaryota; Viridiplantae; Streptophyta; Magnoliopsida; Rosales; Rosaceae.